This 301-nucleotide ribosomal RNA is filed under the name uncultured bacterium. RNAcentral describes it as "partial 16S ribosomal RNA". It matches the Rfam family "Bacterial small subunit ribosomal RNA", at positions 509 to 807 of the family's 1533-position model. The record is from RNAcentral.
CAGCAGCCGCGGUAAUACAGAGGGUGCGAGCGUUAAUCGGAUUUACUGGGCGUAAAGCGUGCGUAGGCGGCUUCUUAAGUCGGAUGUGAAAUCCCUAAGCUUAACUUAGGAAUUGCAUUCGAUACUGGGAAGCUAGAGUAUGGGAGAGGAUGGUAGAAUUCCAGGUGUAGCGGUGAAAUGCGUAGAGAUCUGGAGGAAUACCGAUGGCGAAGGCAGCCAUCUGGCCUAAUACUGACGCUGAGGUACGAAAGCAUGGGGAGCAAACAGGAUUAGAUACCCCAGUAGUCCCUGUCUCUUAUAC